This 77-nucleotide transfer RNA is filed under the name bacterium. RNAcentral's name for it is "tRNA-Pro". It matches the Rfam family "tRNA". Rfam says of the family: Transfer RNA (tRNA) molecules are approximately 80 nucleotides in length. Their secondary structure includes four short double-helical elements and three loops (D, anti-codon, and T loops). The record is from RNAcentral. RNAcentral also lists the same sequence under 4 other names.
CGGGGUGUAGCGCAGCCUGGUAGCGCACCUGCUUUGGGAGCAGGGGGUCGGAGGUUCAAAUCCUCUCGCCCCGACCA